UCUGGUGGCCAUAGCACGAGCAAAACACCCGAUCCCAUUCCGAACUCGGCCGUUAAGUGCCGUCGCGCUGAUGGUACUGCGUCUCAAGACGUGGGAGAGUAAGUCACCGCCAGACCUAGUAAAGAACAUCAAAACAUUCUCUCUGAACGAU
RNAcentral lists this ribosomal RNA (151 nucleotides) under Limimaricola soesokkakensis. The record is from RNAcentral. Lineage: Bacteria; Pseudomonadati; Pseudomonadota; Alphaproteobacteria; Rhodobacterales; Paracoccaceae.